This 819-nucleotide ribosomal RNA is filed under the name uncultured fungus. RNAcentral describes it as "eukaryotic LSU rRNA". The stretch from base 438 to 819 matches the Rfam family "Eukaryotic large subunit ribosomal RNA", at positions 1 to 379 of the family's 3401-position model. Lineage: Eukaryota; Fungi. The record is from RNAcentral.
ACCUCCCACCCUUGAAUAUAUACCUUUGUUGCUUUGGCGGGCCGCUUCGGCUACUGGCUUCCGCUGGUGAGUGCCCGCCAGAGGACCCAAAAUUCUGAAUUAUAGUGUCGUCUGAGUACUAUAUAAUAGUUAAAACUUUCAACAACGGAUCUCUUGGUUCUGGCAUCGAUGAAGAACGCAGCGAAAUGCGAUAAGUAAUGUGAAUUGCAGAAUUCAGUGAAUCAUCGAAUCUUUGAACGCACAUUGCGCCCCUUGGUAUUCCGGGGGGCAUGCCUGUUCGAGCGUCAUUAUAACCCCUCAAGCUCAGCUUGGUGUUGGGGCCUGCCGUCUGGCAGCCCUUAAAAUCAGUGGCGGUGCCAUCUGGCUCUAAGCGUAGUAAUUUUUCUCGCUACAGAGUUCUGGUGGAUGCUUGCCAUCAACCCCCAAUUUUCUAUGGUUGACCUCGGAUCAGGUAGGGAUACCCGCUGAACUUAAGCAUAUCAAUAAGCGGAGGAAAAGAAACCAACAGGGAUUGCCUCAGUAACGGCGAGUGAAGCGGCAACAGCUCAAAUUUGAAAUCUGGCUCUUUCAGGGUCCGAGUUGUAAUUUGUAGAAGAUGCUUCGAGUGUGGUCCCAGUCUAAGUUCCUUGGAACAGGACGUCAUAGAGGGUGAGAAUCCCGUAUGUGAUUGGGUGCCUUCGCUCAUGUGAAGCUCUUUCGACGAGUCGAGUUGUUUGGGAAUGCAGCUCANAAUGGGUGGUAAAUUUCAUCUAAAGCUAAAUAUUGGCCAGAGACCGAUAGCGCACAAGUAGAGUGAUCGAAAGAUGAAAAGCACUUUGG